UCAAGAAGAAGAGUUUACACAAACCCUGUUCCAUAUCGAUAUCUGUUCCAAAGUACCUGUGACAAGUAUUUCGUGUCAUCCCUAUACGUCAGUACUACGGCUGUUCUACGAACGUUCACCGGCAAGAAAUGAAAUUGGUUCAUAUUGACCGGCACAGAACGGAAAUGGUACCGGCCACCGGUUUUUAUAAAUGGAGGUUAGAACAAGUUCUUCUUCUCUGCUCGAUGGUUGUGGCACAAAUCAACACGAGGCCCUCCCCCAGGGCGUCUAUUUUCAUGCGUCUACGUGAGCACUCCCGGUCAAUUUGUGUAUUGCCGAUUGCCUAAAAUCGGUGAGAGCAAAUUCACCAGUCUAGGCCGUCUAGGCGAGUGACAAUUCACAUGUGUGAGAAUUUUAUGAAAUUGUACCAAUUUUUAGCUUAUUUCUCAAUUUAGUUUUCAUUAGAUUAACCCAUGAUACCGAUGAAUACAUGAAUGUAUUCAUUGUAUCAUGAGAUUAACCUGUGAAAAUAGAAAAUUUUAGAUAACCGAUGAGAAUACAUGAAUGUAUUCAUUGUAUCAUGAGAUUAACCUGUGAAAAUAUCGGUUCAACUUGGCUGAUGAGUGAGGUAGAAUAAGCAUGUUACAAAUAAAAUUGGAAACACGAAUGUAUCAGCUCCAUAUUUCAAUAUUUAUACUUGGCUCCAAAACUCUUCAAUAUUAUCCCAAUUUUUUUAAAUUUCUUCAACAUUUCGCAACAGACGUCAUUCUGUGUCCAGACCUUCUAAUUCACUAUCAUUUAUUAAAUUUGGAAAUAUCAUUGCAACAUCAGAAAUAGAUUGUA
Molecule: long non-coding RNA, 822 nt
Organism: Dendroctonus ponderosae (mountain pine beetle)
Lineage: Eukaryota; Metazoa; Arthropoda; Insecta; Coleoptera; Curculionidae
Exons: 2
Source: RefSeq, a predicted model, not a curated record